AGUGAACGCUGGCGGUAGGCCUAACACAUGCAAGUCGAACGGCAGCACAGUAAGAGCUUGCUCUUACGGGUGGCGAGUGGCGGACGGGUGAGUAAUACAUCGGAAUCUACUUUUUCGUGGGGGCUAACGUAGGGAAACUUACGCUAAUACCGCAUACGACCUACGGGUGAAAGCAGGGGAUCUUCUGACCUUGCGCGAUUGAAUGAGCCGAUGUCGGAUUAGCUAGGUGGCGGGGUAAAGGCCCACCAAGGCGACGAUCCGUAGCUGGUCUGAGGGGAUGGUCAGCCACACUGGAACUGAGGCACGGUCCAGACACCUACGGGAGGCAGCAGUGGGGAAUAUUGGACAAUGGGGGCAAGCCUGAUCCAGCCAAACCGCGUGGGUGAAGAAGGCCUUAGGGUUGUAAAGCCCUUUUGUUGGGAAAGAAAAGCAGCAGGUUAAUACCCCGCUGUUCUGACGGUACCCAAAGAAUAAGCACCGGCUAACUUCGUG
RNAcentral lists this ribosomal RNA (492 nucleotides) under uncultured bacterium. RNAcentral's name for it is "partial 16S ribosomal RNA". It matches the Rfam family "Bacterial small subunit ribosomal RNA", at positions 29 to 507 of the family's 1533-position model. The record is from RNAcentral.